This 642-nucleotide long non-coding RNA is filed under the name Capra hircus (goat). RNAcentral's name for it is "lncRNA (ENSCHIG00000005973.1)". Lineage: Eukaryota; Metazoa; Chordata; Mammalia; Artiodactyla; Bovidae. The record is from RNAcentral.
GGGCCAGUCUGUGGAGGCUAUCAAACUGCUCAGCCCCAGGCUGUCAUUUUAAAAGCCAACCUCUUACCUUGUGCGGGGAGGACUUCAUGUCACAUUCCAGGAGAUGAUGGUACAUCCUACCACACUGACGGUAAACAAGGGCAUCAGCUUCGAGCUGCGGGAAAGAAAGCCUCUGCGGAGAGGAAGACUGCAAUUUGAAGUUUGCAGAGCCCUGGAUGGCAGUGGUGGUGAUUGCACCACCAGGGUCACGCCAUGUGCCCCCUGUCCUGCACGCUCACCUGGACCCUGCUCUAGGAGACGCGGGUGUCCUCAGAGCCACCCCUUCGGCUCUCCCCCAGCGCCAGGAUCCGGGCACAGGUGUUCACGUGGAGAUGGUUCCAGCAUGGAAACACAGCCCUUCCCCACUCUGGGUACAAGCUCAGGCCAGGGCUCUGUCUUCUGAGUCACAUUUGGGAGGGUAAAAGCACACCCAUGUUCCGUAAAUGCUUCUCGGGGGGCGUGGGAUUGUCACAGGGACUGAAGGACCAGCCUUGGCUUGGGUCGGGCUUGAAAAGAGACAGGAAAAGUCACCUGGAAAAGGACUUUGGAAAAUAAAGAAAGGAAAGGCGGUUUAAAGAGACUCAUGUGUAGGUUUCAGAAGCA